RNAcentral lists this ribosomal RNA (254 nucleotides) under uncultured bacterium. Its description in RNAcentral is "partial 16S ribosomal RNA". It matches the Rfam family "Bacterial small subunit ribosomal RNA", at positions 524 to 775 of the family's 1533-position model. The record is from RNAcentral.
UACGAAGGGGGCUAGCGUUGCUCGGAAAUCACUGGGCGUAAAGGGUGCGUAGGCGGGUCUUUAAGUCAGGGGUGAAAUCCUGGAGCUCAACUCCAGAACUGCCUUUGAUACUGAGGAUCUUGAGUACGGGAGAGGUGAGGUGGAACUGCGAGUGUAGAGGUGAAAUUCGUAGAUAUUCGCAAGAACACCAGUGGCGAAGGCGGCUCACUGGCCCGUAACUGACGCUGAGGCACGAAAGCGUGGGGAGCAACAGG